UCAUAUACCUACGCGUACGAUGGCCAAAC
This 29-nucleotide small RNA is filed under the name Bombyx mori (domestic silkworm). RNAcentral describes it as "ovarian small RNA-7041". The record is from RNAcentral. Lineage: Eukaryota; Metazoa; Arthropoda; Insecta; Lepidoptera; Bombycidae.